This 466-nucleotide ribosomal RNA is filed under the name uncultured bacterium. RNAcentral's name for it is "partial 16S ribosomal RNA". It matches the Rfam family "Bacterial small subunit ribosomal RNA", at positions 28 to 507 of the family's 1533-position model. The record is from RNAcentral.
GAUGAACGCUGGCGGCGUGCUUAACACAUGCAAGUCGAACGAUGAAGCCCAGCUUGCUUGGUGGAUUAGUGGCGAACGGGUGAGUAACACGUGAGUAACCUGCCCUUAACUCUGGGAUAAGCCUGGGAAACUGGGUCUAAUACCGGAUAUGAGCGUCCACCGCAUGGUGGGUGUUGGAAAGAUUUAUCGGUUUUGGAUGGACUCGCGGCCUAUCAGCUUGUUGGUGAGGUAAUGGCUCACCAAGGCGACGACGGGUAGCCGGCCUGAGAGGGUGACCGGCCACACUGGGACUGAGACACGGCCCAGACUCCUACGGGAGGCAGCAGUGGGGAAUAUUGCACAAUGGGCGGAAGCCUGAUGCAGCGACGCCGCGUGAGGGAUGACGGCCUUCGGGUUGUAAACCUCUUUCAGUAGGGAAGAAGCGAAAGUGACGGUACCUGCAGAAGAAGCACCGGCUAACUACGUG